UAGCCUAGUGGUUAGAGCGUUGGACUAGUAACCGAAAGGUUGCGAGAUCGAAUCCC
Molecule: transfer RNA, 56 nt
Filed under: Salmo salar (Atlantic salmon)
Lineage: Eukaryota; Metazoa; Chordata; Actinopteri; Salmoniformes; Salmonidae
Description: tRNA-Thr
Source: RNAcentral